Molecule: ribosomal RNA, 392 nt
Filed under: uncultured bacterium
Lineage: Bacteria
Description: partial 16S ribosomal RNA
Rfam family: Bacterial small subunit ribosomal RNA
Source: RNAcentral
AUACGGAGGAUCCGAGCGUUAUCCGGAUUUAUUGGGUUUAAAGGGUGCGCAGGCGGCCAUUUAAGUCAGCGGUUAAAUCGUGGGGCUCAACCCCAUUCUGCCGUUGAUACUGGGUGGCUUGAUUGCGGUCGAGGUUGGCGGAAUUCGUUGUGUAGCGGUGAAAUGCAUAGAUAUGACGAAGAACACCGAUUGCGUAGGCAGCUGACCAGACCGCAAAUGACGCUCAUGCACGAAAGUGCGGGGAUCGAACAGGAUUAGAUCCCCUGGUAGUCCGCACAGUAAACGAUGAAUACUUGUUUUCGGCGAUAUAAUGUCGGAGGCAAAGCGAAAGCGAUAAGUAUUCCACCUGGGGAGUACGCCGGCAACGGUGAAACUCAAAGGAAUUGACGGGG